This 503-nucleotide ribosomal RNA is filed under the name uncultured bacterium. RNAcentral's name for it is "bacterial SSU rRNA". It matches the Rfam family "Bacterial small subunit ribosomal RNA", at positions 29 to 508 of the family's 1533-position model. The record is from RNAcentral.
AAUCAACGCUGGCGGCGUGCCUAACACAUGCAAGUCGAACGCGAAAGGGGGCUUCGGCCCCCCGGUAGAGUGGCGCACGGGUGAGUAACACGUGGGUAAUCUGCCUUUGGGUGGGGAAUAACGGCCCGAAAGGGUCGCUAAUACCGCAUAAUGCAGCGGCACCGCAUGGUGACAGUUGUUAAAGGGGGGGAUCUUCGGACCUCCCGCCUGAAGAGGAGCCCGCGCCCGAUUAGCUAGUUGGUGGGGUAACGGCCUACCAAGGCUGUGAUCGGUAGCCGGCCUGAGAGGGCGGUCGGCCACACUGGCACUGAGACACGGGCCAGACUCCUACGGGAGGCAGCAGUGGGGAAUUUUGGGCAAUGGGCGAAAGCCUGACCCAGCAACGCCGCGUGAAGGACGAAAUCCCUCUGGGAUGUAAACUUCAAAAGUUGGGGAAGAAAUCCCUGCGGGGAAUAUCCGCGGGGGAUGACGGUACCCAACGUAAGCCCCGGCUAACUACGUGC